Acanthosepion pharaonis is the source of this 111-nucleotide non-coding RNA. Lineage: Eukaryota; Metazoa; Mollusca; Cephalopoda; Sepiida; Sepiidae. The record is from the annotation of a GenBank genome assembly.
UGGCCAAAUCACGUUGAAACACCGUUUCUCGUACGAUCACCAAAGUUAACCCACAACGAGUCUAGCUAGUACUUAGAUGGGUGACCACUUGGGAAUACCAGGUGAUGUAAG